AUGAGGAUUGGACAAACUAAAUCUUUUCUUUUGCCCGAACAGCACUGGAUCCAUCUGUUGAUAUUCGUUAUAACCCUUAUAACAGGGGCCUUGACAGAUGAAGAUGUGAUAAAAGCUCUGUUGGGUGGGAGUGCGUCUUUUAAAUUUAAGGUUACAACAGGCAUGAAAGUAACCCUAGCUGUAUGGAAAAAGUGUCCGGAUCAGAAGGUUUUUGUGUUCAGCCCCAUCCAUGGACUUAAAAUAUUUGACAACAACUAUGCUGAUCGUCUUUCCAUAAAAUCUAAUCACAGCAUUCUACUGGAUAAAUUACAAGAGAGUGACUUUGUGACUUACUGUUACGAACUCACAACUUUCCCAAAUGGGAGUCUUCAAGGACAAAAUAAGCUAGAGAAAACGACAGAAAAUGGUGAUGUGCCCAUCAUGAUAAUCUCCGUGGGUUGCAGUAUAGGUUUAAUAGUAUUAUGUGGAAUCAUCGCAGGAGUGGUUUGCUAUAAGAAGAGGAAAAGCAACACUGUGUUAAAUCCUGGAGGACCUCCUGGCAGUCAGCCCUCUGUGCGGCUGAAAAAUAAGAAGCGACCCAAGCGCAUACGCUCACAGAAUGAAGAAGAGGUGGAGAUUGAAGACUUCAAUUACCUGAAUAUGAAUUAAGAUAACACACAUUAUGUCUAUAAUGGAUAUUACUGUGAAUAUUUUUUUUUAUAUAUAUAAUUGACUGCUUUAAUGACAAAAAAGAAGUCAGAAAAAUGCCAUGGGCAACAAUAAUCCCAUAUGGAUUGUUAUAUGCACUCUUUUCUUUCUAGCUUUUAAAUAGACUUUAGUUCAUUCUUAUUUUUGUAUUAAUUUUUAUUUUGUAAUACUACUUUUAUAGUACUACUUUUAUUUGUCUGUGGCAGUAAACAUUUUGUGUCUUUGUUUUUGUUUUGUUGUGCAUGUUGUUCUUUUUCCAUCAAGAUAACUUAAAAAAUAUGAUUAGGAUGAUUAGAUGAUGUUUAUUGGUAGUUGUGUUUUAGUCAUUGAUCUGGCCUCAGUCAAAAGCAUGCUGCUAACAUCAUUAUACUCUAACUGAGUUGCAGUUAUGAUUAAAGUCUUGCCUGAAGUGUGUCAAGUAAUGAUCACUGUAACUUGAAGAAGUCAAAAGUGCAAACAAUCAUCUUAAUUCAUCCUACCAACUUGCAUUACCCUUGUUGUUCAGAUGGUGGCAGUGUACAAGAUUGAAUGAUUCCACGCAAGGCUGCGUUGCAUAUAAAUAUCUCUAUGGAUUUUUGUGAAAUAUUACCACUUCCAAAAGUAUUAUUAACAAUAAUGUCAUUAGUAACUUAGCAGAAGUUUCAACUUUUGUGAGCAGAAAUGGCAUUAGUUGCAUGUUGACUUUUUAUUCAGUUUCUUCAGUUAUUCAGUUAACCACAAGAAAAGUCACUUCCUGACUUCUGAGUGAUCUUUCAGCCCAUCAGCAGGAGGAGCAGAAUGGUCUCUUUUUUUUUGUGUUGCAUUGUUUGAAGUCUGAUUUCCACUCGGUUUGAUCUUUUGUUCUGACUCCUCUCAGAUUCUGAUGACAUCACUGCUGACUGACUGAAUUAAUCAUGACAGCAUAUUCACACAAUAGUCAUUAACAUAUACUACAGAUGUCACAUCUCACUGCUUCCUCUUCAGAAAUGCAAACAUACAAAUAAAGAGCUCUUGCACAAAGCCA
Cyprinus carpio (common carp) is the source of this 1690-nucleotide long non-coding RNA. NCBI's taxonomy places the organism in Eukaryota, Metazoa, Chordata, Actinopteri, Cypriniformes, Cyprinidae. The record is from Ensembl.